CCUCUGAAUCCCUCUUCUCUCUUAACUCUCUCUGAAACUCCUACAAACCCUAGCCGCCGCCAUUAAGCUACACCCUAAUCCACCCUAACACCUACCUGAUCCAUGGCCUUCCGUGGUCAUUUGAGGCUUGUACCAUCCUUUCAUGGCUUCUAUAUGUUUGGUUCUAUGGUCUCACGACCAGACUUCGAAAGAGUUUGGUCCAGUCCUUGCUCGACUGGUAUUCAUGGCCUUUCUCCGACCAUCCACGACCUUUUCCGGCCAUUCAUGGCCUUUCGAGGCGGGUCCUUGACCUUUUCUGGUUAGAUCGUUAACUUUCGAGAUCAUUCUCGUUUUGUUUGGGUUUUUUAAAACCCUAAUCUCUAAGAUCUUUCGAUUUCUUUCAGAUCUACCUUAGAUCUGUGCUUACCAUGAAUUUUUAAGCGUUUUUCUCGAAGGUUCUUUAACUUUGCUUUCAAAAUGACUCUUUUCCGAUUAGGGUUUUUCUUUUAAGUUAUUUAAAAUAUCUUUUACCUGAUUUUAACGUAUUUCUGAUCUUGCUAUGUUUUGCUCAUACUGUUCUUCUAUCUGAAUUAGCAUGUUUAAGACCUUAAUUUCUUUUGGGCCUCAAUCGAGUUUUGAAGCUGUUUGUUAAAUGUGUACAUGUUUGUUUAAGUUCUUGCUUGACUCAUCUGUUCACCAUCUUUUGAACUCGUUUGUUGUUGAAAACGGUCUUUAGGGUCUGAAAGUGUUGUCUAAACACUCGACUCGAUUAAAAGUUCUUGUUUCAGACUCUCUUUUCUCUAUGUGACUUAUCUGAUUUUUACUAUCUUUCUAACUCAACUUUUAUCGAAAAUCCUAACCUCUCAAAGGGUUUCCUCACCAACUACUGUGAAACCUUUGCAUGUUUCUGAUAAUCUAUUUUCUUCCCUGUUGAUUCAAUGUGACUUGACCUACUUGAUUACUAUGCUUCGAAUGUUUGCUUUACUACUGAACCCUAGCUUAUUUUUGCCACUACUGCAUGUUUGUGAUUAUCUCUUUUGCUAAUAUGUUUGGCCUCGCAUGUCUGAUGACCCUGUUCACUUUAUUUAUAUGCUGAAGCCUCUUCUUUGAUUGAUCUUGGUCUUGUGACUGAUUUUUAAAGUUUCCCUUUUAUGAACCCUGAUUUCACUCGUCCGUUCAAAAUUGAUUGAUUCUUUUCCCUUUACUGUAACAUUUACCUUGUUGAAUCUAUUUCCAGAAUAAGCAUAUUUCUGUACUUAGACUCGAUUGCUUACUUAAUGUUUUUACUACUCCUUCUAUGGCAAUAAUCAGUCUGUCUCUAAACUGAUUUCUUUCCUUAUUUGAAUCUGUUAUUACCCGUUAAACAGUGACUUCUUAAUUAAAGGGAGUCACUCGUGUAAUUGAUUCCGACUGUUGAUUGUUUCUAUAUUUAUAUUAAAAAUUUACUUGUUAUCUUACUUCUCACUCGUUUUCAGAAGCUAUAAAUACCCUGCACUUUCUCUUCGUUCGAACAGAUACGAACCACUUGAAUUCAGAACACACACUUCACUCAAAGCUCUCUCUCUUUUCUCUGUUACUACUUGUGUUGCUGCCUUGUUUAGCCGGCUGAAAGCCAAGGCUAGGCUGUGGAAAUUUGCUUACUUUUCUUUCUGCAUUUGCCUCUUUACUGGUAUGUUUUAAUUAAUCUUCUAGCAUCAACAAUAACAUAUUUCUUUACUAUUUCCUUCACUCUUGCCUGUUUCCUGCUUGUGUUUAAUCAAGUUACAUUACCAAGCAUGUUGUAUCCUGCCCCUUCCUCCUUUGAAUUAAUGUAUUUUUUCUUAUGUAUGAGCUCUGUCAGUCACUUAUUAUGACUUAUGAAUCACAUCCCCCAUAUCCCUUAUGUGUUUGUAUUCUUUGGUUGGUUUGAGGGCAUGUCAGCAUUAGACAUUGCUGGGCAUGACCCAAACCUGACCCUCCCUGAGGUCAUAUGCUUCAUAUCCCCUCUAUGUGUUGUGUUCUCUAGCUGGUUUAUGGGCAUGCUAGCACCAGCUAUUGUUGUGCAUGUCCAAACCUGACCCCUCUUUGGGUCAUAUGCUUCUUGCAAUGUAUUCCCAAACCCCUGACCCCUUUGUAUAAAAAAAUGCUGAUUCUGUGUAGUGUUAGCUUUACUAUUACCGUUUUCAAAUUACCCUUUACCUUACUAUUCUCAACCCAGUUUUCAAACAAAAUUUCUGCUCCCUCACUUCCACUAUACUCUUAGACUUAGGUUCUACCCCUCUUGUGUGAGCCUUUCCUUGGGACCCACGAGCUCCCUCUAAACUUGGAUACAUAAGGGCUGGCCCUUCCACACUGCACUCAUCUCUAUCUGAUUAUGCAAACUUGGGUGUAAGCACUGCCCGGUGUAGACAUGUGAUUUUUGACCCUCCCCAAGAUUGUUCAUAUUUUAGCAUUUAAAUACUUAAUUUAGAUCUAAAAUAGUUAUUUCAACUAACUUUGACUCUUUACAUUAUUUUUAUCACAAAAUUAAAAAAUACAAAAAUAGUUCCAUAUUUCUCUAUUUAAUUCACGUAUUAGAUAUUUUUAGAAGGAUAUGUUACUUUGAACCUAUUUUAUUUUAAUAUAAUCUUUGAAAAUACCAAAAAAUAGUUUCAACUUUAAUUUUUAGUUCUAUUUUAAAUAUAAUAGUUUAUUAUAAUAAUCUCAACUUUAAUUUUAGUUUUAUUUGUAUCUUCUUAUAAAUAUUUAUAGAAGUAGAUUAAAUUUUUAGUCUUUUCCUAGCCCAAUUUUAUAGAAUUUUUAGUGGAAGUUGAAUUCUUGCAAGAAGAUAGCCCAAUUUUAGCAAGCCUAAAUCUUCCCAACCCAUGUAAUCCAUGACCCACGCCUAAAAACCCAUCCAAACCUAUCAGAUUUUUUGAACUAAAAACAAAACCCUAGGUGACUCUAUCUUCUUUUUAAUGAAGACAACAUGAAAGAACCCUAGCCACUCCUUCUUCUUCAACACACACAAGACAAGAACCUUAGAACCCUUGGACAGUUGCCGCCGGAGACCCCAUCGCCCCUCCACGAGCUGCUAGAAUAACAGCGUCGAACACAAUCUUGGAAUCCCUCUUCUUCUUUUUCACCCAAGCUCCAGACGCCCAACCUCUAUCAACCCAGAAUACACAGUCGCCAGCCACCCCACCCAUCUCCAUCUCCCAACCACAGUAGCAACAUACACACACAUAGGAAUAGGGAACAUAAAGAAGAGGGGAAAACGAAACAGUGACACGAUACAUUAUCUACAUAAUUUUAACUUUGAAUUACAUACAUCUACACACAUACUCAUUAUACACACAGAGAGAGAGGGACGUAUGAACGGACAGAAGGGAGAACGACAGAAAUUGAGGAAAUCCUUAGCAACGGAAGAAGGCAGCUCUGUCCCUGUCACUCUCUCGCAGCCCAUUUUUUUAUUCUUCCGUCAUCACCUCCGUUUUGGUUUACUCUUUGAGUUUCAGCGUACCUUCUAGUUCAAGUAGAGAUUGCGUCGAGUUCGUCGGAUUCCGGAUCUCAUCGAUUAUUUGGUUUUUCGGUGAGGAUUCAAUUCGUUGAUGUCGUUCGAGGUUAUUUCUGCGGUCCGCAGAUCAAUCUCCUACUGUUGUUGCAUUUUUAAAGUCGGAUUUCAAUCGUCGGGUUUGCUGUAAUUAAAUUCUCGUUAACGGAAAGAAAAUCUUGCUCAAAUGACUGCUCGAAAUGGGUCGUGUGGAUCAAACUAAGAAGAGACAAGCAUUGGUAACUACUGUUUGAGCAUGAAGCUAUUUUUCCUAAAAGAGACUUUCUAGUCAAAUUGUCAAGUAAGCCAGCAUCAUACUUUGAUCUAUUUUUUAUAUGUAUUUAUGCUAUUUCUCGUAUCUCUUUUCUUUGUUUGUUGAUCAGAGGCAUCAUCUUUUAUUUGGAUUUAUCAAAUGUCUUUGUUGUUUUUAUUUAUUUCUUAUCGCUAGUAGUAUGUUUAGGUCGUUAAUGUUCGGGUAGGCGAAUAUUAUUAGGAUUUUUCUUUUCUUUUCUUUUCUUUUAUAUGAGGUGAGAGGCCGCCCCUUUUAGUUAAAUUUGUCCGGGGAAUGCCCCGAAGGAUUUGUAAAUAUUCUAUUUCGGGGAAUGCCUCGAAGAACUUUGUAAAUAUUUUAGAGGUCGUGACGAGCAUUGAGGAGGCGCAUAUAGGUUUGUAGUAUUUUAUUUUUGUCAUUUUAUUUUAUUAGGUGGGGAUGAACUCGUGCCUCGUGCAUUUAUUUUUCUUUUAUGUGUUUAUUUUUACCUCAAUUUGAAUAUCUUAAAAGCCAACUAGAUCGAGUACGCAACUGUGACCUUCACGAGACUCGGGGAAUGCCUAACACCUUCUCCCCGAGUCAAAUGAACCCCCUUACCCAAAUCUCUGGUGCAGACUUAGUUUUGGAGUCCAAAGUAUUUUAAAAGGAAAAAUUAUUUUUUUUAAAAAAAACGGUGACCUGACACACCGAAAUCAAAUGUCAGGUGACGACUCUGAGUUAAUUCUUUUAAACAUAAAUUUUUGUCACUUUCUAAUUGAAAACUCUUUUGAGCUUUACAAAAUCCUUUUAUUAAUUUAAGAGGGUUUAGUGGAGUUUUGUAAAAAAAAGGGGUGUGACACUCGGGGUCCCUUGAGACCCUUAGGGAACUGUGACACACUCAAGUCUGAGAAAGGCUUUGGAACAAAUGGCAUUUGAGGUGGUUUAUUCCAUAACUUAGAGAGGAAGGCAAGAAUUAGGCUUCCUCUGGUUGUAACUUCUUCUUUUACACUUUUCUGAUGUAAUUCAUUAUUCUGUUUGUAAUAAUAUGUAAUGAACAUUGGGGUUGGCUAGUGAAAAGGGCUAGGUAAUUGUGCAUGCGUAACUAUUAGAAGGGUAGAGAACAUGUCUAUAGGAAUUAUUUUUUGCAUGUUUAAUUCAGCAUUUAGAGAAUAUGCCUAUAAGAUCUAUUGUUUUAAAUUCUGCAUGCUUAACUUUGCAUUUAGAGAACCUGUCUAUAGGGCUUGUUUAAAUUCAGCAUGUCUAAUUCUGCGUUUAGAUAAUAUGCCUAUAGGAUUCAUUUUAAAUUCUGCAUAUUUAUUACCAUACUUAGAUACCAUGCUCUUAGGAUCUAAUUGGUUAUAAUCUGGCAUCAUGUCCAAUAGGUUAAAAUCAGUAUCGUUUAAUCCGAUAUCAUACCUAUAGGAAUUAAAAAUAGCAAUAAUGGAUAUCAAUAUCUAUAGAAUAUGAAACCAGUCUAGUUUAAAAUCAGCCUAACUCGUAUUAUUCUGAAUUAAUUUUAAACAGCCUUACUCCUUUAUUUAACGCGGUUUAGAAAGCAUGUCUAUAGGAUCUCAAGUCGUUUGUUUUAGAGUUGUUACUGCUUUGCCACAUCCUGAAUCAGUAAUAGAUAUCAUGUUUAUAGGAUCUCAUCCAAAUACUUAGGUAAGCCUUAGGUGCUAAUGACAAUAAAAACUGAACCUACUUUUGUUAAUCAGUAAUUGCUACAACCAGUAGGCAAACCUGAUUCAGACUUCUUAUCUGAGUUAUGUAAUAAACCAGUCUGCCUCAAAAAUUAAAAUUCUCCUUGCCUUAGUACCUUAAAUUCAGACCCUAACUGUGUUUAAGUAAUGCUAUUUAUGUGCUUUGUUUGAGGAGGUAUACAUGAGCCUCUUAGUUGUUUACAUGUUUCCCAUAAUAUGAAGUCCUAUGUGUUUUUGUAUGUCGCCUUAGCUUUUUUCACCUUUUGAAACCUAAAAGUCAGCCUAAUAUCCCUCCCCUUUAAGAAUAGUAGUCCUAAGUUCCUCCGGACUGAUAGGGGUGGGACGAGUAAUAGCAUGCAAUAGUGGUCGAGACCAAUCUGCGCUUUAAUACCUCGACGGGGUGGGAAGGGUAGAUAUGGAUAUGAUGACCGGUGCGCUAAUACCACGUGUAUCCCCUCUUAUGAGGAGUGUCAUAUCGAGUAUCGCAUUGAUGUGAUCCAUAUUAUAAAUAAACCUAGGACCCCCUCCCCUUUUCCUUUCCUUUUAUAUUCCUAAGUAUCUGUAAAAAUGUGACUCCUUUUUUCAAAGUUCGCCUUUAAUUGUUCUUUCAAACUCUUAUGUGUUUAAACCUAAAUCCCCUACUAUUUGAGCAUAUACUUGUCUAUUUGCUAACUGUACAAAUUUACAGAACUAUCUGGCCGGGAACCACACUAGUGGAUCUUGAGGGGUGCCUAACACCUUCCCCUUAGGAUAAUUUUAAGCCCUUACCUUAUCUCAGGUUAUCAAGAAAACUUAGAAAUGAACCCUAUAGGUGUCCUAAUGCACCUUAAAUCAUUAGGUGGCGACUCUUCAAAUGCAAAACUCAGUUCCCAAAAGGAAUGAGUUGUCUUAUACCCAAUAUCAUAAACCCAAUUUUCUGAUGCAAAGAGGGAAAAAGGGGGCGCGACAGUAGUAUUCAUAAACCGUUCGUGAGUUGUAACACCAGUUCUGGGUGGAGUUUUGUUACGGUUUUGUUAUUAAUAUUAAGAUAAUCUGUUGAAUUCUGUUCUUCCGCAUUUAUUCCAUUGAUUUACUUUUGUUAACUUGUAAACUGUUAAAAGAUAAAAGAAAAGGGUGAAAUAAUUUGUAACGUUGGCUUGCCUAGCAAGUAUAAUGUUAGGCGCCAUCACGGUCCUGACUGUGGGAAAUUCGGGUCGUGAUAAGUUGGUAUCAGAGCUCUAGGUUGCUUAGGUAUCACAAUUUACGGUCAGGCUUAGUAGAGUCUGAAGGAUCGGUACAAAGACGUUUGUGCUUAUCCCCAAGAGGCUAUAGAGUUUAGGAAUAACUUCACAUCCAUUCUUCUUUAUCGUGCGAUUUGACUUCUCAAUGCUAAUUGAACUUCUACUCUAUUUUUUCGCAGAUGGCGAGAACACAUACUACUUCAUCAGCUGAUCAGCAACCCGAGCCCUCAACGGUAGCUCCUACGAGGGGCAGAGAACGAGGCCGAGGCCGUGCUAGAGGCAGGGGCAGGGCUCAACCCAGAUUAGCAGCACCAGUGGUGGAGCCUCAGGUACAGUUUGAUGAUGAGGUUCUAACCCGGACCGUUCCUGCGGGCCCAACUUAGGUUCUAGAGGGGUUCAUCGCUACCUCGGUACUCCAGGAUGAUUUGGUCUAUCUAGUGGGCCUUAUGGAGAGUGUCACUUAGGCAGGCAUACUUCCUGUAUCACCAGCCGUCUCUCAGGCUGGGGGAGGAACACAAACUCCCGCUACUUGCACUCCAGAGCAGAUGGAUCCCCAGUUUCAGACUCCAGUAGCUUAGCCAGUUGGAGUAGUUCUACCGGGUGUUGUAGCUCACACAUGUGAUGGAUCAGCUAUGCCAUCAAAUGCCUUGUGGAUAUUGGGCAGGUUCACGAAGCUUUUCACGACUACUUAUGGCGGUACAUCUUUAGAGGAUUCCCAGGACUAUUUGGACAGCUGCCAUGAGGUCCUUCAGAACAUGGGGAUAGUGGAGACCAAUGGGGCCGACUUUACUGCUUUUCGUCUAUCAGGUUUCGCCAAGAAAUGGUGGAGGAAUUAUUGUUUGGCCAGACCAGAUGGGUCACCAACUCUCACUUGGGACCAGUUUUCGCGGCUAUUUCUCGAGAAAUUCCUUCCCGUCAUUUAGAGAGAGGAGUAUUGUAGGCGGUUUGAGCGUUUUCAACAGGGUUCUAUGACUGUCACCCAGUACGAGAUGAGGUUUAUUGAUUUGGCCCGUCAUGCUCUUCUUACACUCCCCACCGAAAGAGAGAGGGUGAGGAGGUUUAUUAAGGGACUCGCUCAACCUAUUAGAUUGCAGAUGGCUAAGGAGACAGGGAGCGAGAUUUCUUUUCAGGAUGCGGCCAAUGUGGCCAGGCAAGUUGAGAUGGUUUUAUCCCAGGUGAGUGGUCAGGGGUCUGACAAGAGGCCUUGUCAUUCUGGCAGAUUCAGUGGUGCCUCGCUUGGAGGCAGGGAUUCUUUUGGUAGAGGCCAUCCUCCCAGGCCAUUUCAUUUAGCACUUCAGGCUUAUCACGGUGCUCCAGGUGGCUGUGGUUCUCAUAUGUAGUAUUCUGAUCAGCUACCCUACAGUGCACUACCAGCUCUUAUCAGUUCACCUCUGCUACAGAGUUUUCAGGGUGGUUACUCAAGCCGACAGGGUUAGUUUCAAGGUCAGCAAUCUCAGCAGUCGAAGCCUUGUGAUACUUGUGGCAAUACAAGGCAUAUUGCUAGAUUUUACCCUCGAGCCUUGAGCAGUUCUUAGCAUCAGGGUUCUCGUGCCAUAGUUCCAGCACCGGGUGUUCCACCGCCCGAUCAUCCAUCUAGAGGUGGGGGUCAGGCAUCUAGAGGUGGAGGUCAGACCACUAGAGGUGGAGGCCAGCCAGCAGGAGGUUGUCCCAAGGAUGUAGUUUAGAGUGGUGGGGCACAUCCCCGAUGUUAUGCUUUCCUAUCCAGACUUGAGGGUGAGUCCUCCGAUACAGUUAUCAUAGGUACGGUUUUAGUUUGUAGUAGAGAUGUUUCAGUUCUAUUUGAUCUAGGGUCUACAUACUUCCAUGUGUCAUCUUAUUUUGCUGCGUAUUUGGUUGUGCCUCGUGAUUCUUUGAGUGCUCAUGUAUACGUGUCUACACCGGUGGGUGAUUCUAUUAUUGUAGAUCAUAUCUAUCGUUCGUGUGUGGUUGUCAUUGGGGGUCUUGAGACCCGUGUAGAUCUCAUACUUCUCGAUAUGGUGGAUUUUGAUAUCAUUUUAGGGAUGGAUUGGUUGUCACCUUAUCAUGCCAUAUUGGAUUAUCACGGCAAGACCGUGACCUUAGCAUUUCCGGGGUUGCCUCGAUUGGAGUGGAGAGGGACUCCUAGUCAUUCUACCAGUAAGGUUAUCUCUUAUAUGAAGGCUCGGCGUAUGGUCGAUAAGGGGUGUUUGGCUUGUUUGGCGUAUGUUCAUGAUUCUAGUGCUGAGGUUUCUUCUAUGGAUUCUAUGCCAGUUGUUCGUGAGUUUCCUGAGUUAUUUCUUACAGACCUGUCGGGGAUGCCACCCGACAGGGAUAUUGACUUUUGCAUUGAUUUGGCUCCGGGCACCCAACCCAUUUCUAUCCCGUAGUAUCAUAUGGCCUCGCCAGAGCUGAAAGAAUUGAAAGAACAGUUGCAAGACUGCUUGAUAAGGGCUUUAUUAGACCUAGUGUCUUGUCCUAGGGUGCGCCAGUGCUAUUUAUUAAGAAGAAGGAUGGAUCGAUGAGGAUGUGUAUAGAUUAUCGGUAGCUGAACAAGGUCACCAUCAAGAACAAGUAUCCAUUACCGAGGAUUGAUGAUUUAUUUGAUCAGCUUUAGGGUUCCAAGAUGUUUUCAAAGAUUUAUCUGAGGUCUGGCUACCACCAGUUGAGGAUUAGGGCAUCCUAUGUCCCUAAGAUAGCUUUUCGCACUCGGUAUAGGCAUUAUGAGUUUCUAGUGACGUCAUUUGGGUUGACAAAUGCCCCAACAACAUUUAUGGAUUUGAUGAACCGGGUUUUCAAGCCUUAUCUGGAUUACUUUGUGAUUGUUUUCAUUAAUAAUAUUUCGAUCUACUCCCGUAGUUGGGAGGAGCAUGAGCAGCAUCUUCGAGUCGUCCUUCAAACUCUAAGAGACAGCCAGUUGUAUGCUAAGUUUUCGAAAUGUGAGUUUUGGUUGAGUUCAGUAGCAUUCCUGGGUCACGUCGUAUCAGUAGAGGGUAUUCAGGUGGAUCCUAAGAAGAUUGAGGCAGUCAAGGACUGGCCUAGACCCACAUCAGCUAUAGAGAUCCGGAGUUUCUUGGGUUUGGCGGGUUAUUACCGUCAGUUUAUGGAGGGGUUUUCAUCUAUAGCAGCCUCGAUGACUAGGUCAACCCAGAAGGGUGCCCAGUUCAGGUGGUCGAACGAGUGUGAGGCGAGCUUUCAGAAGCUCAAGACAGCUUUGACAACGGCGCCGGUGUUGGUAUUGCCCACAAGUUCAGGGCCAUAUACGAUAUAUUGUGAUGCAUCUCGUAUUGGACUUGGUGCAGUGUUGAUGCAGAAUGGCAAGGUUAUUGCAUAUGUUUUGCGACAGUUGAAGAUCCAUGAGAAGAAUUAUCUAGUUCAUGACUUGGAGCUUGCAGCCAUUGUUCACGCGUUGAAGAUUUGGAGGAACUAUUUAUAUGGCGUAUCAUGUGAGGUGUUCACGGACCACAAGAGUUUGCAAUACUUGUUCAAACAAAAGGAGCUAAAUUUAAGGCAGAGGAGGUGGUUGGAGCUAUUGAAAGACUAUGAUAUCACCAUCUUGUAUCAUCUUGGGAAGGCCAAUGUAGUGGCUAAUGCUUUGAGUAGGAAGUCAGCCAGUAUGGGCAGCCUUGCAUAUAUUCCAGUCGGUGAGAGACCGCUUGCUUUGGAUGUUCAGGCCUUAGUCAAUUAGUUCAUAAUGUUGGAUGUUUCUAAGCCCAGCCGUGUUCUAGCUUUUAGAGUCGCUCGUUCUUCAUUAUUUAAGCGUAUCAGAGAUCGGUAGUAUGAUGAUCCUCAUUUUCUUGUCCUUAGAGACGCAGUGCGGCACGGAGGUACCAAGCAGGUUACAUAUGGAAAUGACGGAGUUUUAAGGAUGCAGGGUCGAGUUUGUGUGCCUAAUAUGGAUGGACUUUGUGAAUUGAUUCUAGAGGAGGCCCAUAGUUCCCGAUAUUCUAUUCAUCCGGGCGUCGGCAAGAUAUAUCAGGAUUUGUGGCAGCAUUACUCAUGGAGAAGGAUAAAGAAGGAUAUUAUUGCGUAUGUAGCUCAGUGUUUGAAUUGACAGCAGGUAAAGUACGAGCUUCAAAGACCUAGUGGUUUACUUCAGAAGAUUGAGAUUCCUGAGUGAAAGUGGGAGCGUAUCAUUAUGGACUUCGUUGUUGGACUCUCACGGACUCAAAGGAAGUUCGAUGCAGUAUAGGUUAUUAUGGAUAGGCUGACCAAGUCAGCGCAUUUCAUUCCUGUGGCAGUUUCCUAUUCUUCUGAGCGGUUUGCAGAGAUUUACAUUUGUGAGAUUGUUCAUCUUCAUGGUGAGCCUGUGUCUAUCAUUUUUUAUCAAGGUAUGCAGUUUACCUUGCACUUCUUGAGGGCAGUACAUCAUGAGUUGGGUACGCGAGUCCAGUUGAGCACAGCAUUUCAUCCUCAGACGGACGAGCAGUCCGAGCGUACUAUUCAGAUUUUGGAGGAUAUGCUCCGAGCGUGUGUUAUUGACUUUGGAGGUUCGUGGGAUCUGUUCUUGCAGUUAGCGUAGUUUGCCUACAAUAACAGUUAUCAGUCGAGCAUCCAAAUGGCUCCCUAUGAGGCAUAUAUGGUAGACGGUAUCGGUCGCCGGUUGGAUGGUUUGACCCGGGAGAGGCUCGGUGGUUGGGUAUAUAUUUAGCACAGGAUGCCUUGGAUAAGGUUAAGAUUAUUCAGGAUAGGCUUCAUACAUCUCAGUCCAGCCAAAAGAGUUAUGCCGACCAUAAGGUUCGUGAUAUAGCAUUCAUGGCCGGAGAGCGAGUGUUGCUUCGGGUGUCGCCCAUGAAGGGCGUGAUGAAAUUUGGGAAGAAGGGCAAGCUAAGCCCUAGGUUCAUCAGGCCUUUUGAGAUCCUUGAUAGAGAGCUAGAGGUGUCUUACAGACUUGCAUUGCCGCCAGGUUUAUCAGCUGUGCAUCCAAUGUUUCAUAUGUCGAUGCUUCGGAAGUAUCACGGCGAUCCAUCCCACGUGUUAGACUUCAGCACUGUCCAGUUGGACAAGGACUUGACCUACGAGGAGGAGCCAGAGGAUAUUCUAGACCGGUAGGUUCGACAGUUGAGAUCGAAGAUUUUUCCGUCAGUUCGUAUGUAGUAGAGAGGUCAUCCUGUUAAGGCAGCUACUUAGGAGUCCGAGUCCGAUAUGCGGAGCCAAUAUCCUCAUCUUUUCAUUGACUCAGAUACUUUUCUAUGUCCUUUCGAGGACGAACGGUUAUUUUAGAGGUAGAGAAUGUGAUGACCCAAGGGGUCAUCUUGUGUUUUAGAAUCCGAAUCCAGAUUCCAAGGCCUUGAAAACCUCAUUUUUUUCCUCCUUGAUUUGCGUGCACUAUCCAGGUAUGUUUUCUGAAAGCUUUCAUGUGAAAUUUAAGAAAAAUAUGAAAAUUUACCUUUAAAAUUAAUUAAAGUUGACUUUGGUCAAUGUUUUGGGUAAACGAACUUGGACCCGUGCUCUGACGAUCCCGAAAAGGUCCGUAGUAUAAUAUGGGACUUAGGCGUAUGCCCGGGAUCGAAUUCCGAGGUCCCUAGCCCGAGAAAUGAAUUUUUGAAGAAAAGUAUUUGCUGGAAAAUAUAAAGAAUCUUAGAAAUUGAAUAAUGUUUGAACUUGAUGAUAUCGGGUCCGUAUUUUAGUUCUGGUGCCCGGUACAGGUCCGUUAUAAUAUUUAAACCAUAUCUGUAAAAUUUGGUGUGAAGCAGAAGUAAUUUGACAUGAUUCGAACCUUUGGUUGAAAAAAUAGGAAGUUUGAACUAUCUUGAAAAUUUCAUUAGUUUUGGUGUUAAAUUCGUUGUUUAAGAUAUUAUUUUGGCAAUUUCAUCGUACGAACAAGUCCGUAUGAUUUUUUAGACUUGUGUGCAUAUUUGGUUUGGAGCCCCGAGGGCUCGAGUGAGUUUUGGAUAGGCUAAAAAUUGUUUUGGACUUGGAAAAAAAAUUGCAGGUGCUACAGUUCUGGUGUUGGCCUCUGAUCUCGCAAUUGCGAGGAAAACUGUUAUGGCAAUUGCGAGGCCUUUAUCGCAAAUGCGAAGAAGGCCUGGGCCGGCUUAGUUCGCAAAUGCAAACAUUACUUUGCAAUUGCGAAGAGAGUCUGGGAAGGAGGGGUUGAUCGCAUUUGCGAUCUUUUUGUCGCAAUUGCGGAGGUUGGCGUUCGCAAUUGCAAACAUUCCUUCGCAAUUACGAAGGCAGCAGUGGUUUGAUGGUUCUCGCAUUUGCGAGCUUUGCAAUUGUGAAGCUCAGGUCGCAAUUGCGACAUUUGCGCUUGUUAAGUUGGGGCUUAGACGAGAUUUUGAACUCAUUUCUCAAAAUUUCACACCCUAAACCUCCCUAGGCAAUUUUCAAAGACCCAAACUUCUCCAAAUCAUAGGUAAACGAUUUCUAACUCAUUUUCUUCAAUAUAUUUCAUCUUUUUACAUGAUUUCAUCUCAAAAUCUAGGGUUUUUCAUAGGAAAUUGGGUGUUUUGGGGUAGAAAUUAGGAAUUUCAAAAUUUGGGGAUUUGGACCUCAAAUUGAGGUCGGAUUUCAAAACCAAUUGCAUAUUUGGGUUCGUGGGUGAAUGGGUAAUCGGGUUUUGAACCAAACUUUUAGUUUUGACCAAGCGAGCCCGGGUUCGGUUUUUGAUUCUUGGGGAAAAUAUUGGGAAAUCUAUACUCAUUCAUUAGAAUUGGUUUAUUUAGCGUUAAUUGAUGUUAAUUAGUUAAUUAUGCAUAGAUUCGGGCGGUUUGGAAGUGGAAAUCAAAGGAAAAGUGGUAGUUGAGUCUUGAUUUUUAGCCGUGGAAUCGAGGUAAGUGUUUGGUCUAACCUUAGAUCGAGGGAAUAGGUGUUGUUGUCUUACUUGCUACUUGUAUAAUUGUUGAGUACGAUGUAUAGGUGUGGGGACGAGUAUCUAUACGUUGUUGUUUGGUGAUAGUAUGCAAAUGAGCCUUAUAUUUCUAACCAUUGUGCCUUUAUUACGUAUUGUUCAUGCUUAAGCUGGUUACUCUUCAUGUUGAACAAGUUUGGUUAUAUUUUCUUGUUAUUGGGUAAUUGUUGAUUGUUGACUCAAGUUGAGACUUACAUUGUGAAUUUAACUGUUGAAACGAGAUUGAUUAUAGCUGAUUCCUUUGCCGGGAUGUUAUUGUUUCUAUUGUUUGGGUGAAGAAAGAAUGAUAAAGCACGAAGGGUAAUGCCGUGCACAUUCAUACUUAUGCAUAUGGUGAGGAAGUGUGAUAAAGAACGAAGGGUGAUGCCGUGCACUUUUAUAUUUAUAUUGAUGCAUAUGGUGAGGAAGAUAGAUAAAGCACGAAGAGUGAUGCCGUGCACAAUUCUAUUAUUCAUAUGGUUAUGAAGAGUGAUAAAGCACGAAGGGUGAUGCCGUGCACAUUUCUAUUAUUGACUGUAUGGUGAGGAUUGAGAGUAAAAGCACGAAGGGUGAUGCCGUGCAUUUUCUGUUUGUUGUGAUUAAUUGUUGUUAUCGGUUCAAGUGUAUUAAUUGUUUAAUUUCUGUUACUACUGUGAUUCCUUAUUCCGGUAACCCUAUUGCAUGUUUCCCCUUCCUGUUAAUUUCUAUUUAGCUUCUAUUAUUGUUAUUCUGUUGGUAUAUCGUUUAUCUGCACAUGUUUAUGUUGGUUGUCGUGUCCUAGCCUCGUCACUACUUCGCUGAGGUUAGGCUCGACACUUACCACUACAUGGGGUUGGUUGUACUGAUACUGCACUCUGCACUUUCUGUGCAGAUCACGGUGUCGGACCUUGUGAGUAGAGUCGGGUGGCUGCCUUCAGUCCAUUGGAGACCCAAGGUAGUCCUGCAGGCGUCUGCAGGCCCUGGC
RNAcentral lists this long non-coding RNA (14432 nucleotides) under Nicotiana tabacum (common tobacco). Its description in RNAcentral is "long non-coding RNA (NTAB_LNC004256)". Lineage: Eukaryota; Viridiplantae; Streptophyta; Magnoliopsida; Solanales; Solanaceae. The record is from RNAcentral.